Long non-coding RNA from Ictalurus punctatus (channel catfish), 5952 nucleotides. Lineage: Eukaryota; Metazoa; Chordata; Actinopteri; Siluriformes; Ictaluridae. The record is from Ensembl.
AAAAAAACAAAAAAAAAAAAAACUGUUGUUUUAUGGAAAUUUGUAAGUGCAAAAAUGUGUGAGUUCACGCCAGAUUCAACAACUCAGUUGUGAGAGUGAGCUUGUGAUGGAGUGAGUGAAUUUAUUUUGAUUAUGAUUGAAUGAAUAAAUGAGUGAGUGACUGAGUGAGUGAAUAAUUGAGUGAAUGGUUGAGUGAGUGAGUGAGUGAGUGUGCAUGUGUGAGUUGGCAGGUCCAUGAGAUGUUUAAACAAUAUUGGUAAUAUAAGAAAAGAAAUGAUUUCUGCCUGAAGGCAGUAGGACAACCAUGACAAAUGACAAAAACACUGAAAAAUGCUAAUUUAUGCAAGUUAGGUGUCUCACUGCAUGGUGUGUACGACAUGUGUUUUGAAUUAUAUAUAUAUAAAAAAUACUGUAAAAAGUGGACUGAGACUUCUAGAUGUCAUUAUAGCAGUUUAGCAGAGUCUGAACAAAUGUAAUAUGUGAUCAGAGAGAUCUUCUGCAAUUUUUAGGGGCAGUGGUGGCUCAGUGGUUAAAGGCUCUGUGCUGCUGCUCAGAAGGGCACGAUUUCAAGCCACAGCACUGCCAAGCUACCACUGUUGGGCCCUCGAGCAAGGCCCUUAACCCUCAAUUGCUCAGUUAUAUGAAUAAGAUAAAUGUAAGUUACUCUGGAUAAGAGCAUCUGCCAAAAAGUUUCAUAAAUGAAAAUUUAGAAACAAUCACCAAAAUUUUAAUGUAAUAUAUAUUAGGUAUUGAGGAAUUAUGGAAAUUAUGUCUUAAAAUACAAAUCAAUAGUGAAUGCAUUUUAAUUAACUUUAAAGUACAUCUCUGUCCUAGAUUGUCCAGACAAGUAGUAAGAGAGUAUAGGAUUGUUGAAAUGUGAGACUGAAACUCCACAAAUUCAUGACUAGCAAAGCUACUUGCCUAUUAUUCUGUGCUGGAUACUACCCUUAGGCUAGUCUAUGUUCAUUUCACUGCACAGCAGCUCCAUGCAGCCAGUGGGUGAACAUAACUAGCUUUUAAUUAAAACAGAGAACAAAAAUUAAAAGUAGAGGGAUAGGACAGUGAUUUGAAGACAGUAUGAAGCUGUCAGCUGGUCAUGACAACUCCCAUAAGGAACACUGCAUCUCAUAAUGGAUGUAGAAGAUCUAUAUUGUUUCGUUGCUCUAAUUUGACCCUUCCAGCAAUGGCUCAGGCAACAGCUCUGAUGCAGGAACUGGAUGCCCAUUCUGCGCACCGAUUAGCUAACUGUGGUCCAUCAAGCAGCCUGGCAUCUCCUCAAGCAGGGAAAAAAGUUGGAGUUAAUGAUGAUUUGGAGCUCGUUGCGUGCAGAAGAAGCCAAGUCUACCCUGAAGCACACAAUGCUUCCAUAGCACUGCACAUUCCUCCGUUAUUUUCUUUCAAUCUGAACUUUCAGGACAUCAUUGUAAGUGGAUGAUGUACAAUCAAGUCAUCUGGAAUCAGGAUCAGAGAUGACUGGUGAGGCAAACUAAGGAGAAAAGGAAAGACCUUAGUUGUAGUUGGUAGUUCUCUUUACUUUGCAGUGUUUCAUCCGUCUGACAACCAGGGCAUUUUGCAGCCUCGUAGCUCAAACAUUCUCCCAAUGGGAAAUCUCAUUAUUUCUUCUUAUUAUGUAUUAUUUCUCAUUCAUUAUUUCUCAUUAGGCCAUUGCGUUAUGCAAUUAGAGCUUUGAUGUAAUGCAAUGAUAUAUAUCCGUUUUGCCCUGGUAUUUUCAAACUCUAUUUAGAUAUUGUAGAUGGCUAGUCCAUGGUACUGAAACACUUGGAUAUGGCAAAGAUAUUUGCAAGAAUAGCCAUUUCUUGUGGUGGUGUUUAUCUUAAACAAGCAUCGACUGAAUUAAAGCUUUUGAAAGUGAAAUGCAAUGAUUGGCUUCAUUCAAAAUUGUCCUUUUAUGUGAAGACCAUUUCUAGGUUUCUGAUUGAUGAUUAAUUUGCCAGUGGGUUAAGAGAUACUUAAAUGGACAAAAAGCAUGCUGCUUCAUUGGGCAUACAGUACUGGUGCCCUUUAAUGUGCUGUGAUUGAUUUAUCAUGCACUAGCUGGCAACAGCAAGACCACCAUUUCAAAGUUUUUGAAUGUUUUUGCUACUGUUGUUUUGAAAACACACAGUUGAUGGCAUUAAACUUUCUAAAGUGUUGUGUCUGUUGAGGAACUUAUUAUGAAGCAGGCAUUUAAUGUUGCACCAACAUUUUGAGCAAAGAUUUUUGUUAAUGCUGACUUUUUCACAUACCCAUGACCUCCUAAAAUGAAUGAGUAGAGUGGCUUUGAUUAUCUAUAUCUAGUUUUGUGGUAGAGGAUUAAACAUUACCUUUUGAAUUGGCAUGUAUGAGGCAAAAUGUAGGAGGUAAUAAUGGAUGAAUCAGUAGUGUAAAUAAGAAUAUAUGAUAUAAUAUGAUAUAAUAUGAUAUCAUAUUAUAUGAUAGGAUAUGAUAUGAGAGAGAACAUCUCAAAUACCACAUGUGCUUCUCUUUUUAUAGUCAGUGUACAGGACUAUAUCAAGGAUUUUAAAAUUUUAGUGAGGUUUCUUGUAGAAAUGUAACCUAGUUCAUAAUUAAUUGUAAUAAUCACAAUGCCUAAUGUGUACUAAUUUCAUAUCUGUUAUAUUAUACUUCUAUUAUUCCAUAAACUGCUCCAACUUCAUUUAGGCUAUUUAAUAUGAUUAUGUUAAAUAUUUUAGCUUACACUGAUCUCUAACGCUUUCUCUGUGCUUGUCCUCUUUUUUCUUACUUUUCCCCACUGAUACUGAAUACACACACAAACACACUAACAAGCUGAUGUUACCACAACUAGCAUGCUGAUUUAGCUAGCAUUGUUCUGAGUAGUUUACAAUUUACAAACACUAAUUACCCUCAUAAAAACUCACAUACAUCAUAUUUUCCCAUAUAAGCUAAAACAUGUAUGUCAUAUCGAUGUCAGAUGCAUAUCUCUCAACAAAAACUUAAAAUCUGUUAGUGUAGUAUCAUGUGAGAGGUGAACACAAUGGCGAGUAAGUCUAAACCUAAAGCUGCUCUGAGGUCAGUCAAGAACCAGCCAUUUCUGCUAAUUGGGUUUUGGGAUACAAGUUUUUCUGCAUAGCAGACUUCAUUCUGCGACCAAAUUAUCAGGAUGUGGCUGUCUCCACAUAGAAUACGAGUUGGUAUGUGGGAGGUAAAAAACAUCAAAGUUCACACUUUAGUGCCAUUAUAGGUGGUUCCGGCCAUGCUACUAUACUGUCAGUUCCAAUAAAAAGCUGUGGUCUCGUUGUCUGUUUGUCCCAGGGAAGGUGUGGCCUCUGCUCCUGUCUGUCCCAGGGAGGUGGGACCUCUGUGUCUGUCUCUCUGAAUGAAGGACGUGUUACCUGUGUCUGUCUCUCUGAAUCAAGGAGGUGUGGCCUCUCUGUCUGUCAAUCCCAGUGAAGGAGGUGUAGCCUCUGCGUUUUUCUGUUCGAAUAAAGGAGGUGUGGCCUCUCUGUCUCUCUGAAUCAAGAAGGUGUGGCCUCUGUGUAUGUCUCUUUGAAUGAAAGAGGUAUGGCCCCUGUGUCUUUCAAUUCCAGUGAAGGAGGUGUGGCCUCUGUGUCUGUCUCUCUGUAUCAAGGAGGUGUGGCCUCUCUGUCUCUCUGAAUCAAGAAGGUGUGGCCUCUGUGUAUGUCUCUUUGAAUGAAGGAGGUAUGGCCCCUGUGUCUUUCAAUUCCAGUGAAGGAGGUGUGGCCUCUGUAUCUGUCUCUCUGAAUCAAGGAGGUGUGGCCUAUGUGUAUGUCUUUCUGAAUGAAUGAGGUGUGAAAUAUGUGUAUGUUUCUCUGAAUGAAUGAGGUGUGGCCUCUGUGUCUGUCAACCCCAGUGAAGGUGGUGUGGCCUCUGUGCCACUGAGGGAGGCAUGAAUUACUCAUAUAUUCAUAUUAGUUUAAUUGUUUGCUAAAUUAAAUAUAUUCAACAAGAUGUGAAUGAGUGUGUAAAUAAUUGUUGUUUGUGUGCAUGGUGCUCUGUGAUGGGCUGGCAUCCCAUCCAGGCGGUACUCCGGCUCCCAAUUAAUUUUGAUCCAAAAUUUGUCCAAAUUUAAACUUAAAGUGGUCCAAAAUAUUAUUAACUAUUUUUUACAAAUCAAGAUGGAUCAAGAGCAUCUUAAAAUGGAUCAGUAACAAUUGUUUUUUAUAGACCGAUUUAACUAAGCCCAGGCUAGACUCAUAACGGAAACAUUAUAUAAAUUGCUGGCCAGUGGUUAUCAUUCAAAUUGGAUUGAUCAGAUAUCGAGAUGCACAUGCUCACCACUAUUCUAAUGCUCCCUAUCUGUAGAUAAGCUUUCUGAUUAGAAUAUUCAUCAUUUCAUCUUCUUAUUUUAUUAUUCAUAAGACCCAGAUGCAAGUCAAUUAAUUCCUGCUGAUUAUGACAUCGAUAAUUGCACCUUUAUUGGAUAAUUUAUGGAAAUUUGAGACUUAGGUGGGCCAGAGAUUACAGCCAUCAUUCUCACUCAUUUAGUCAAUUUAACCUGCGUUUACUCAACAAGGCUUUUCAGAUACUGCUUGUUCUCCAGAGCCUUUUUUUUUUAAUCCGGGUCAGCCUGCUUAAGUGUUUUGGGGUACUUUGCCCUUGCUAAGCUAAAUGGGUAAAAAUAUUUGGAAAGCUCUGAGCUCCAAGGGCUUCCCUACAGAGAACACAAGUUUAUCAUAAGUUUCCAGUUGUUUUUAAAGACAACCACAUCCUUGCUGUUUCGGUUUCCUUUGGGUAGAAUCCCUAGAAUUUCUUAAGUAUUCAAUACAACAAAAACAAAGCUCUGUUCUUGAUUGGUAAUAAAAAUACAUUAUAUUGUUUCCACAGUGCUCCUUUUCAAUGUUGCUACGUUAAGAUUAGAUGCAUGCAUAAAGCUGAUAUACUGUAAUGCAUGCAAUCUACAAAUGAGACUUAUUUAGUCAAGCUUGAGGACAAAAAGAAAGACUUGAAAGAGCAUGACUGCCAUACUCAUUUGGAGCCCAGAUACAUUUCAUCUUCUCAUUUAAAUAAUUUGCUCUGAAGUGAACUUGAUUCAAUGUGAAAGUAAUUACAGUCUAUUAUAUUCAAACAAGAUGUUGUAAACCUUUGGUCAUGCUAAUCAAAUCUUCUUUUAUUCCAAAUUAAGAUUCUACUUUUCUCUCUAUUCUGCUCCGUUUCAUAUUUGAUACUUAUUAUCUGUUUUUCUUGAUUAUCCCUCAUCUAAAAAAUGGACAAAAAUUACUGCCCCAAUGCAUACAAAAGGUCUGUUUCAGAGAGGGAAAAAUCAUUCUCAUUCACCCAACAACAAAGAGGGCAAAUGAAUCACACUUUCUAUUUCCAGACGUCUUCUUUUGUACAUGAAAUCUCUCGAAUGGAUUACAACCUUAUUAGUCUCUCUGUACAUGGGAAUCAUACAUGCUACGUUCUGUUUCAUACACAAGAACACAUAUUCCUGCUGUAUUCCUGGUCUGACAAAGAAGGUAUACAGUAAGCAUGUAAUCGAAUGAACAGAUAAUGUGUUCUAAACGGACACAAAUACAGAUACUGUACAAAUGGGAGGUCCAUUAUUAAUUUAUUUAUUUUUUUAGAAAGCUUGCCAGAAAGGUUAAGAAGGCAUCUGGUUGAGACUAGAGGUGUGCAUCUGGGGUGAGAUCCCACGGGACGCAUCAAAAAAGCCUUGUCCGUGGGAUGUUUUUACUGUAAUGUGGAUGCACAAAAGGGACUGAUAUGAAAAUGCUGAGUUGUACAAUGAAUUUACAGCAUCUUUAGUAACCGCAUGCGCAGUGUCGUGGUGGUUUAAAUUAGGAUGUUAGUUUGAUUAGAAUUCAGAAAAUAAAACAAAAUAAAUUUGUUUGAAAAUAAUACAGGCUUCUACCAGCAAAAAUUAUAACUGCAGGAUAUCUCUAAUUGAGAACUAGAAUGAUGUAGCUGAAGUUGAGAAAUUGUCAGAGCCAGAAUUAACAGGACAGCGCUGGCAUUUCUACCUCUUUUUCC